CCUCAUCUACUGUCUCCUGAAUAUGCAUCAAACUUUGUAUAAAGGUGCAUCAUGGAAAGGUGGUGUGUCACAUUCUAAAAAGAGGUCACUGUGACCUCAAUUUGACCUUUCACCUUGACCUCAAGUACUGAAAUAUUGGUUUCUAGAGCAAAUCUCGGCGCUGUUUUACAAAUGGGCAUCACACUGUAUAUAGCUACAUUAUAGAUGGUGGCUCGGAAUCUUGAAACGAGAUCACUCUGACUUGAGUUUGACCUUCACCUUGACCUCAAGGACCGAAAUGAUAAUGGUUUCUAGAGUAUAUCUCAGCUACUAUUCAGUAAUGGGCUUCAAACUUUGUAGACAUGUUGGGAGCAGGGGUGUAUCUGUGAAGUCUAUGCAUCAGGUAAAAUUUAGUUUUUAGUACAUACUGGUUAUGUACUGUGUUCAUAGAAUUUUAAAAAUCUUGCCAAAAGUUUGACCUGAAUUUUAUUAAUUUGUGAUGCAGGCAGCCAACUACCUAGAUAUCAAGGGUUUAUUGGAUGUAACAUGCAAGACUGUGGCCAACAUGAUCAAAGGCAAAUCACCUGAGGAAAUCAGAAAAACUUUUAAUAUCAAGAACGAUUUUACACCAGCAGAGGAAGAACAGGUACGAAAGGAAAAUGAAUGGUGUGAGGAAAAAUAAAAGGUGUGGAAAGUGAGAUUCUGUCCCGUCUCCUUGUGUAUUAAAAAGCGACUAAGAUAUUAUAUAGACUGUAGGCUUUCACCUCUUGAACAUUAAUGAUAUAUCUUAUUCACAGAAUUAUCAUCCAAAGCCUAUCUCAGGUUGCCUUCCCCGGUCUACCUGAGAGGAGGAACAAAGCUGAAGUUGAGUAGGUGAUAAGAUAUUGUGGUUACCCAAAAUGAUGUUUAUUCCUCGUUUGUGUGGCUACAAUUACCUUAACUAGGAGGACGGUUCCUCAAGAAUGACUACUAAACAUUAAAUGGAAAGCUUAUUACAAAACAGGCCAGAAUCUGUACGUUGCAAUUGUUAAGGCUACACAUGUGUUUCUGAACUCGUCAAAUCCCAUCUUAUUUAAUGCGCAAAAGUGAUGUUAUCCGACUCAAAAAGGCAAAUAUGUGAAGUAAAUUAAAUAUUUGAUGGAAGCUUAUUGCAUUUUGAAACGUUUCGUUAAGCAAACUUUAGGCAGUCAGUGUGGAGUGUGUCUGUUUACAAGGACGCCUAAUUGAAAUGAUUAAAAUUGAGUAUAAAAUCCCUUUCGAUACUGUGAUUCUGUAUAAAGUUUUAAUUUAUUUGAAUUGUAACAUGGUUUUUUUUUUGUACUUGAAAUAUGGUUGUUUGUUUUCUUAUUUUAAUUUUAGCUUGUAGAAAUAAAUAACUAAAGUUUGAAACUUUCAUUAUAUUAGCAGCAGACAUUUAGCAAAAAUAUGUGCAAGUAGAUAGUUUGAAUAAUUAUUUAACUCAAUUCAGACAAUUGUAUUACAUACAGUACUAGAUUUGUUGUGUACUUGGCUUAUUUCUUUUCCAAUCUACUUUACAAGGACACAGAAGAUUGAUAGUGCUAAAGAUCACGAAAUCACAAUUUGCAAUCUAUACACCUUUCUUCAAGUAGAAAGAACGGUUAAAUUGGCGUUAAAAAUCCAGAUUGAAAACUCUGUGAUCAGUAACAUUCAAAACUGCUUAUGUUUUUUUGUUUCCCCAUCAUUCUCUCUCCUCCUCUUUUGUUGACGGACACUCUUUGAGACCUAUUUAAGAUAUAAUCUUGGGACAUAUAUUACAGUAAGUACAAUCAAAAAAUUACUUACCAGCAUUUACAAUGUUGUGAUAUGGCACAGAGCUGUUGAUGAAACUGUGAAAAUAAUAUGUAAAGGUGCCAUAUGUAUUCACUAUACACAAAGUAUCUUUUACAGUUUGAUUUUAGAGACAUUUUAAGGUAUGGCAUGUUCACAGCAAAUUAUACUUGUGGAAAAAUAAUUGCUUAUGAGUGACACGGCUUGAUUUUAAACAGUUUACUAAAUAUGAAGUUAACCUAUUCACCAAUCUUCCUGGUUGAUUGUUGUUGUGCUAGAAAGAUUUUCUCGUUUGAUGUAUAAUGUAUGAAAACAUUCUGCCCAGUUAUUCUCUUAUAUAAUUGUGUUUAGUGUUUGUAUAAAUAUUCAUGCAUCCAUAUUAAAAAUCCAUGUCAACAUUUUC
This is a long non-coding RNA of Mizuhopecten yessoensis (Yesso scallop), 2170 nucleotides long. RefSeq lists it as uncharacterized. The record is from RefSeq and is a predicted model, not a curated record. The transcript is spliced from 2 exons. NCBI's taxonomy places the organism in Eukaryota, Metazoa, Mollusca, Bivalvia, Pectinida, Pectinidae.